Protopterus annectens (West African lungfish) is the source of this 105-nucleotide small nuclear RNA. The record is from RefSeq and is a predicted model, not a curated record. Lineage: Eukaryota; Metazoa; Chordata; Ceratodontiformes; Protopteridae.
UCCAUCUUUAGAGUGGCAUACACAAAAAUUGGAAUGAUCUAGAAAAGAUUAACUUGGCCCUAAUACAAGGACAACAUGCAAAUAUGUGAAGGGUUCCAUAUUUUG